RNAcentral lists this ribosomal RNA (627 nucleotides) under Hymenoplia rugulosa. Its description in RNAcentral is "partial 16S ribosomal RNA". It matches the Rfam family "Bacterial large subunit ribosomal RNA", at positions 1819 to 2732 of the family's 2925-position model. Lineage: Eukaryota; Metazoa; Arthropoda; Insecta; Coleoptera; Scarabaeidae. The record is from RNAcentral.
GUCUUUUUGAUAAUAAUAUAAAGUCUGACCUGCCCAAUGAGGAUUUAAAUGGCCGCGGUAUUUUGACCGUGCAAAGGUAGCAUAAUAAUUAGUUUUUUAAUUGAAAGCUGGAAUGAAUGGUUGGACGAGAAAAUAGCUGUCUCAGAUUAAUUUAAUUAGAAUUUUAUUUUUAAGUAAAAAAGCUUAAAUUUUUUUAAAAGACGAGAAGACCCUAUAGAGCUUUAUAUAUUUAUAAUUAAACACAAUUUAGUAUAAUCAAGUUUUUAUUUUUAAAUAUAUUUUAUUGGGGUGAUAAAAAAAUUAAUAAAACUUUUUUUUUAUAUUAACAUUAAUUUAUGAAUUAUUGAUCCAUUUUUUAUGAUUAAAAGAUUAAGUUACCUUAGGGAUAACAGCGUAAUUUUUUUUUAGAGUUCUUAUCGAAAAAAGAGAUUGCGACCUCGAUGUUGGAUUAAAAUUAAUGUUUGGUGUAGAAGCUAAAUAAUUAGGUCUGUUCGACCUUUGAAAUUUUACAUGAUCUGAGUUUAAACCGGUGUAAGCCAGGUUGGUUUCUAUCUUUAAAUAAUUAAAAUAUUUUAGUACGAAAGGACCAAAUAUUUAUAAAAUUUAUUUAAUUUUGAAUAAUAUUAA